Molecule: long non-coding RNA, 513 nt
Filed under: Linum usitatissimum (flax)
Lineage: Eukaryota; Viridiplantae; Streptophyta; Magnoliopsida; Malpighiales; Linaceae
Description: long non-coding RNA (LUSI_LNC005174)
Source: RNAcentral
AUCAGCUCUACAGAGAAGAAUUCUUCACUCAAAUCCUUGAACACUUCUCUUACACCCCACAGAGCUACCAAACUUUCCAGCAACGCUACCUCAUCAACGACACCUACUGGGGCAAGAAGAAUGCUCCCAUCUUCGUUUACACCGGCAACGAAGGCAGCAUCGACUGGUUCGCCCGCAACACCGGCUUCAUGUUCGACAUCGCCCCAAAGUUCAACGCCCUCUUAGUCUUCAUCGAGGUCCGGCCAGUCUUCUUAAUAUUCACAACAACCCUGAAAAUCUCUCUCCGUCAAUAUAUAUAUGUAUAUGGUAACUGAAUUUUCCCCUGUUUCAAAUCAAUUCAAUUCAAUCCCCCUGCAGCAUAGGUUCUACGGGAAGUCGAUUCCAUUCGGAGGAGAUAAACACAAGGCGUACAAGGAUGCUAGAACACUGGGAUACCUUAGCACCACGCAAGCAUUAGCAGAUUUCGCCACGCUAAUUGUCGACCUCAAGAAGAACCUCUCCGCUACAGAGUCC